CGGGUGAGUAACACGUGGAUAACCUACCUAUAAGACUGGGAUAACUUCGGGAAACCGGAGCUAAUACCGGAUAAUAUUUUGAACCGCAUGGUUCAAAAGUGAAAGACGGUCUUGCUGUCACUUAUAGAUGGAUCCGCGCUGCAUUAGCUAGUUGGUAAGGUAACGGCUUACCAAGGCAACGAUGCAUAGCCGACCUGAGAGGGUGAUCGGCCACACUGGAACUGAGACGCGGUCCAG
This 237-nucleotide ribosomal RNA is filed under the name uncultured Staphylococcus sp. RNAcentral describes it as "partial 16S ribosomal RNA". It matches the Rfam family "Bacterial small subunit ribosomal RNA", at positions 103 to 334 of the family's 1533-position model. Lineage: Bacteria; Bacillati; Bacillota; Bacilli; Caryophanales; Staphylococcaceae. The record is from RNAcentral.